AGAAUCAACGCUGGCGGCGCGCUUAACACAUGCAAGUCGCACGAGAAAGGGAGCAAUCCUAAGUAAAGUGGCGCACGGGUGAGUAACACGUGGAUCAUCUACCUUUUAGUGGGGAAUACCUCUGGGAAACCGGAGACAAUACCGCAUAAGCCCGCAAGGGGAAAGCAGCAAUGCGCUGAAAGAGGAGUCCGCGGCCGAUUAGCUAGUUGGCGGGGUAAUGGCCCACCAAGGCGAAGAUCGGUAGCCGGCCUGAGAGGGCACACGGCCACACUGGCACUGAAACACGGGCCAGACUCCUACGGGAGGCAGCAGUGGGGAAUCUUGCACAAUGGGCGAAAGCCUGAUGCAGCGACGCCGCGUGAGCGAUGAAGCCUUCGGGGUGUAAAGCUCUUCGACGGGAACGAUAAUGACGGUACCCGGAGAAGAAGCUGCGGCUAACUACGCGCCAGCAGCCGC
This 456-nucleotide ribosomal RNA is filed under the name uncultured bacterium. RNAcentral describes it as "SSU rRNA". It matches the Rfam family "Bacterial small subunit ribosomal RNA", at positions 26 to 518 of the family's 1533-position model. The record is from RNAcentral.